CUUUAGCCCCGAUUGCAGUGAUAUCCUUUUUUUAUAAACCUUGCAAGGGUUUGUAAAAAAAGAUAUAGCGUAAAGCGGGAAAAUUA
Molecule: small RNA, 86 nt
Filed under: Flavobacterium micromati
Lineage: Bacteria; Pseudomonadati; Bacteroidota; Flavobacteriia; Flavobacteriales; Flavobacteriaceae
Description: Flavo-1 RNA
Rfam family: Flavo-1 RNA
Source: Rfam by way of RNAcentral